GACGAACGCUGGCGGCGUGCUUAACACAUGCAAGUCGAACGGAAGGGCCCCCUUGUGGGGUACUCGAGUGGCGAACGGGUGAGUAACACGUGAGUAACCUACCCUUGACUUUGGGAUAACUUCAGGAAACUGGGGCUAAUACCGGAUAGGAGCUCCUGCUGCAUGGUGGGGGUUGGAAAGUUUCGGCGGUUGGGGAUGGACUCGCGGCUUAUCAGCUUGUUGGUGGGGUAGUGGCUCACCAAGGCUUUGACGGGUAGCCGGCCUGAGAGGGUGACCGGCCACAUUGGGACUGAGAUACGGCCCAGACUCCUACGGGAGGCAGCAGUGGGGAAUAUUGCACAAUGGGCGGAAGCCUGAUGCAGCAACGCCGCGUGCGGGAUGACGGCCUUCGGGUUGUAAACCGCUUUCGCCUGUGACGAGGCGUGAGUGACGGUAAUGGGUAAAGAAGCACCGGCUAACUACGUG
This 465-nucleotide ribosomal RNA is filed under the name uncultured bacterium. RNAcentral's name for it is "partial 16S ribosomal RNA". It matches the Rfam family "Bacterial small subunit ribosomal RNA", at positions 28 to 507 of the family's 1533-position model. The record is from RNAcentral.